GAGACACUUCGAUCACUACGCAAAUGAUAUCGAAAAAUCGCAAAAUUUAUUUUCUAGAUACUUCCAAUACUCUAGAUCAAGUCUAAUAGAGCCGAUCAUCGAUUCGAAAGUCCAAACAUCGAAAACAAAGUGGAAGCACGGAGCGCUUCGUUCUUCCAUAAGCAUACCAGACGCACUCUAUAUAUAUAUAUAAUUGAGCUAUAAUACUUUUAAAAUUAUUACCCCAUUGAUGCUUUUAGAUUUCUGGCCCUUGAAUCUACUCCUUUAUUACUAAUAGCCCUUGGAUCAAACACUAUUCCAUCUACCACCACCUACCACCANCCCAUUGAUGCUUUUAGAUUUCUGGCCCUUGAAUCUACUCCUUUAUUACUAAUAGCCCUUGGAUCAAACACUAUUCCAUCUACCACCACCUACCACCACCUACUAUCAUCAUCACAACCUUACAUUCCUCCAUCCAAUGAUUAAAAACUCAAAAGCACCACCUCAUUGGUGCUUUUGAAUGUAUUCUAGGUCAUCUCUCUCUCUCUCUCUCUCUCUCUCUCUCUCUCUCUAUAUAUAUAUAUAGGGUCCGGCUACUAUACUAUUAUGAGUACAAUCACCCUCGUACUUAUAAGUUGUUUUUGAUGAUAGAGCUUCCGAAUCGACGAUCCACACCGUUAAACGUUAUUUACAGCAUUUAAAACUUCUAUAAAUCAAAUUUUAUAACUUUUCGACAACAUUUACCUUACGAUCAAGAGGUCACAAAUUUGAUAAUUUUUAACGGCCGGUAUGAGAUACUUGCUAGUUUAACGGUGUAAAAUAAUCAGAAUUUGUUAAAUUUUUUAUAGAAAAUUCUAUUCACUACAUAGAUAAAGAUCGAUAACUCUGAUCUUGAAUUGAAGGAUCCGAUUAUUCCUUUUUAGGACGUCGUUCAAUUUUGACCUUUCAUUUUUUGCCCACUUGAUGAACUUUACUAUGAUUUUGAAAAUUUACGAAAUUUAUUUUCUAAAAGUUUCAAAUACUCUAGAUCAUAUUUAACGGAAUGGAUCGCCAACUCCGAAGC
RNAcentral lists this long non-coding RNA (1042 nucleotides) under Ananas comosus (pineapple). RNAcentral describes it as "long non-coding RNA (ACOM_LNC017045)". The record is from RNAcentral. Lineage: Eukaryota; Viridiplantae; Streptophyta; Magnoliopsida; Poales; Bromeliaceae.